This 501-nucleotide ribosomal RNA is filed under the name uncultured bacterium. RNAcentral's name for it is "bacterial SSU rRNA". It matches the Rfam family "Bacterial small subunit ribosomal RNA", at positions 29 to 502 of the family's 1533-position model. The record is from RNAcentral.
AACGAACGCUGGCGGCGUGGAUAAGACAUGCAAGUCGGACGCUGAUUGCCGGGUAGCAAUAUUCGGCGGUCGGAGUGGCGAAAGGGUGCGUAACACGUGGGCAAUCUGCCGUGAAGUCGGGGAUAACUUGCUGAAAGGCGAGCUAAUACCGGAUGUGGUUUUGGGAGGGCAUCUUUCUGGAACCAAAGUUGGGGACCGCAAGGCCUGACGCUUCAUGAUGAGCCCGCGGCCUAUCAGCUAGUUGGUGAGGUAAUGGCUCACCAAGGCAAAGACGGGUAGCUGGUCUGAGAGGACGACCAGCCACACUGGAACUGAGACACGGUCCAGACACCUACGGGUGGCAGCAGUCGAGAAUUUUUCACAAUGGGCGAAAGCCUGAUGGAGCGACGCCGCGUGGGGGAUGAAUGGCUUCGGCCCGUAAACCCCUGUCAUUUGCGAACAAACCUUUCCACCCAACACGUGGAGAGCUGAUUGUAGCGAAAGAGGAAGGGACGGCUAACU